RNAcentral lists this ribosomal RNA (2435 nucleotides) under Serratia marcescens. Its description in RNAcentral is "partial 23S ribosomal RNA". It matches the Rfam family "Bacterial large subunit ribosomal RNA", at positions 380 to 2799 of the family's 2925-position model. Lineage: Bacteria; Pseudomonadati; Pseudomonadota; Gammaproteobacteria; Enterobacterales; Yersiniaceae. The record is from RNAcentral.
CUAAAAUGCACAGGUCGUGAGUUCGAUGAGUAGGGCGGGACACGUGACAUCCUGUCUGAAUAUGGGGGGACCAUCCUCCAAGGCUAAAUACUCCUGACUGACCGAUAGUGAACCAGUACCGUGAGGGAAAGGCGAAAAGAACCCCGGCGAGGGGAGUGAAAUAGAACCUGAAACCGUGUACGUACAAGCAGUGGGAGCACCUUCGUGGUGUGACUGCGUACCUUUUGUAUAAUGGGUCAGCGACUUAUAUUUUGUAGCAAGGUUAACCGUAUAGGGGAGCCGUAGGGAAACCGAGUCUUAACUGGGCGAAUAGUUGCAAGGUAUAGACCCGAAACCCGGUGAUCUAGCCAUGGGCAGGUUGAAGGUUGGGUAACACUAACUGGAGGACCGAACCGACUAAUGUUGAAAAAUUAGCGGAUGACUUGUGGCUGGGGGUGAAAGGCCAAUCAAACCGGGAGAUAGCUGGUUCUCCCCGAAAGCUAUUUAGGUAGCGCCUCGUGAACUCAUCUUCGGGGGUAGAGCACUGUUUCGGCUAGGGGGCCAUCCCGGCUUACCAAACCGAUGCAAACUCCGAAUACCGAAGAAUGUUAUCACGGGAGACACACGGCGGGUGCUAACGUCCGUCGUGAAGAGGGAAACAACCCAGACCGCCAGCUAAGGUCCCAAAGUCAUGGUUAAGUGGGAAACGAUGUGGGAAGGCAUAGACAGCCAGGAUGUUGGCUUAGAAGCAGCCAUCAUUUAAAGAAAGCGUAAUAGCUCACUGGUCGAGUCGGCCUGCGCGGAAGAUGUAACGGGGCUAAACCAUGCACCGAAGCUGCGGCAGCGACGCUUAGGCGUUGUUGGGUAGGGGAGCGUUCUGUAAGCCGUUGAAGGUGGCCUGUGAGGGUUGCUGGAGGUAUCAGAAGUGCGAAUGCUGACAUAAGUAACGAUAAAGCGGGUGAAAAGCCCGCUCGCCGGAAGACCAAGGGUUCCUGUCCAACGUUAAUCGGGGCAGGGUGAGUCGACCCCUAAGGCGAGGCUGAAAAGCGUAGUCGAUGGGAAACAGGUUAAUAUUCCUGUACUUGGUGUUACUGCGAAGGGGGGACGGAGAAGGCUAGGCUAGCCGGGCGACGGUUGUCCCGGUUUAAGCGUGUAGGGGGUGUGACCUGGUAAAUCCGGUUGCAUAUCAACCCUGAGGCGUGAUGACGAUGCACUACGGUGCAGAAGUAGUUGAUGCCCUGCUUCCAGGAAAAGCCUCUAAGCUCUAGGUAACAUUAAAUCGUACCCCAAACCGACACAGGUGGUCAGGUAGAGAAUACCAAGGCGCUUGAGAGAACUCGGGUGAAGGAACUAGGCAAAAUGGUGCCGUAACUUCGGGAGAAGGCACGCUGGCAUGUAGGUGAAGUCCCUUGCGGAUGGAGCUGAAGCCAGUCGAAGAUACCAGCUGGCUGCAACUGUUUAAUAAAAACACAGCACUGUGCAAACACGAAAGUGGACGUAUACGGUGUGACGCCUGCCCGGUGCUGGAAGGUUAAUUGAUGGGGUCAGCCGCAAGGCGAAGCUCUUGAUCGAAGCCCCAGUAAACGGCGGCCGUAACUAUAACGGUCCUAAGGUAGCGAAAUUCCUUGUCGGGUAAGUUCCGACCUGCACGAAUGGCGUAAUGAUGGCCAGGCUGUCUCCACCCGAGACUCAGUGAAAUUGAACUCGCUGUGAAGAUGCAGUGUACCCGCGGCAAGACGGAAAGACCCCGUGAACCUUUACUAUAGCUUGACACUGAACAUUGAGCCUUGAUGUGUAGGAUAGGUGGGAGGCUUUGAAGCGUGGACGCCAGUCUGCGUGGAGCCAUCCUUGAAAUACCACCCUUUAAUGUUUGAUGUUCUAACUCGGCCCCAUAAUCUGGGGUGAGGACAGUGUCUGGUGGGUAGUUUGACUGGGGCGGUCUCCUCCCAAAGAGUAACGGAGGAGCACGAAGGUUAGCUAAUCACGGUCGGACAUCGUGAGGUUAGUGCAAAGGCAUAAGCUAGCUUGACUGCGAGAGUGACGGCUCGAGCAGGUACGAAAGUAGGUCUUAGUGAUCCGGUGGUUCUGAAUGGAAGGGCCAUCGCUCAACGGAUAAAAGGUACUCCGGGGAUAACAGGCUGAUACCGCCCAAGAGUUCAUAUCGACGGCGGUGUUUGGCACCUCGAUGUCGGCUCAUCACAUCCUGGGGCUGAAGUAGGUCCCAAGGGUAUGGCUGUUCGCCAUUUAAAGUGGUACGCGAGCUGGGUUUAGAACGUCGUGAGACAGUUCGGUCCCUAUCUGCCGUGGGCGUUGGAAGAUUGAGAGGGGUUGCUCCUAGUACGAGAGGACCGGAGUGAACGCACCACUGGUGUUCGGGUUGUCAUGCCAAUGGCAUUGCCCGGUAGCUAAGUGCGGAAAAGAUAAGCGCUGAAAGCAUCUAAGCGCGAAACUUGCCU